This 459-nucleotide ribosomal RNA is filed under the name uncultured bacterium. RNAcentral describes it as "partial 16S ribosomal RNA". It matches the Rfam family "Bacterial small subunit ribosomal RNA", at positions 338 to 795 of the family's 1533-position model. The record is from RNAcentral.
CCUACGGGAUGCAGCAGUGAGGAAUAUUGGUCAAUGGGCGGGAGUCUGAACCAGCCAAGCCGCGUGCGGGAAGAAGGUACAGCGUAUCGUAAACUUCUUUUGUCAGGGAACAAAGGCGGGGACUAGUCCCCGGAUGAGUGUACCUGAAGAAAAAGCAUCGGCUAACUCCGUGCCAGCAGCCGCGGUAAUACGGAGGAUGCGAGCGUUAUCCGGAUUUAUUGGGGUUAAAGGGUGGGCGGGCGGCCUGUUAAGUCAGCGGGAAAAGCCCGGGGCUCAACCCCGGCGAGCCGUUGACACUGGCGGGCUGGAGUUGGAGAGAGGUACGCGGAAUGCGCGGUGUAGCGGUGAAAUGCUUAGAUAUCGCGAAGAACCCCGAUUGCGAAGGCAGCGUACCGGCUCCACACUGACGCUGAGGCACGAAAGCGUGGGUAUCGAACAGGAUUAGAUACCCGUGUAGUC